Molecule: transfer RNA, 69 nt
Filed under: Rattus norvegicus (Norway rat)
Lineage: Eukaryota; Metazoa; Chordata; Mammalia; Rodentia; Muridae
Rfam family: tRNA
About the family: Transfer RNA (tRNA) molecules are approximately 80 nucleotides in length. Their secondary structure includes four short double-helical elements and three loops (D, anti-codon, and T loops).
Source: Rfam by way of RNAcentral
GGGGAUUUAGCUCAGUGGUAGAGCACUUGCCUAUCAAGCACAAGGCCCUGGGUUCGGUCCCCAGCUCCG